CCUCCGUCACUGGCUUCCGUGUGUCCUUGCUUAGGUCACAACGGAAAACGCCCAUGGCAACCGGCGAGAGUGUGUUUGAGCAACAAGGUAACUCCUGCUGCCCCAGCCUCCCGCCCUCUGAGCCACGAGAGCUCCGGCGGGCUGAGCCCCAUCCCUUCCUCUCCUCUCCCAGCCCAGGAGCACUGGCGCAGACAUUGCUUUGGUGCCGGCUCCUCUUCCCCUUCCUCUGCGAGGCAGUGUGAGAAGAGGGGAACUUGAUCUUUAGGGCCAAGUCCUGCCAGGUUGGGUGGCGUUCAGUAGCCACAUUUGAUAGACCAGGACGCUGCACCCCUGCGAGUUGGGAUUUCAGGCCGUGCUGGGUUGGGAACCCUGGCGCCGCCCCUCGGCCCCAAGGCCUCCCUCGUUCACCGUGGGUUUUCCUCUUCAAAUGCCUACUGAAGCAAAGUUGUGCUGAUUUCCGCCUCUGUUAAGAGGGAUCACAACAACAUGGAGGAAAGUGCAAAAAAACAAAAAAGUCUUUUCAAUAUUAAAGCCACAUCCACCCAGCUCAGCAGAGGCAGCAGGCCCUCGAGGGGAGGGUAACUUUGACUAUCUCUUAUUAGACGCCAGACAUUCAGAGCUGUAGAACUAGAUGGUGCUGGGUGGAAACUGUUAAAAUUUAAAUGUUUGGGGGAGACGCAAAUCAUUCAGGGAGAAAAAAUAACCCCAAAGUUUACAGUUUUGCUGCCCGGGUUUGCAGUUUUACUUCAGCAUUCCUGUUUGCUAGGGCAGGCGCCACGUGUGUGUUCUCGUUUCCUCUUUGAACGAGGCUCGUCACCCCGCCAGCCACCUGUCAGCUGGAAACGCACCUUCGGAGCACCGCGGCGGCAUCCCUGGACGUCAGGGGACCUAGGGACACAUGUCCCCACCUUUGCAGUUUUCCAUGACUGCCAGGUAGACGAAGUCUAGACUUAGGCUCCAUGUAGUGCUUGAGAAGUCAGUGUCUUCCUGUCUCACUUUCUCACGGCCACCCCCACCCACAUGACACUGUCACCAAUGACCCUGGGCCGAGCACAGAGACACGACCAGCAAGGAAGGCUGGAGAAGGCAGCUGCGGCUCUGUGUGCCAGCUAAAUAGCACCGCUCAUUGCUAAGGAAGCAGGGCGGAAUGGAUUCUGGGGACACAACGGGUCUCUGCCAUAAGAGGUCACCCUAUGUGCCGGAGCAAAUCCACAGAAUAACCUUGAUGUUGGUGUUGCCAAUGAAGCCUGCUGGGGAAAGGAAUAAUAAUUCCAGAUGCAUCAGUAAAGACGCCGUCCUGCUGCAAGAGCUAAGGGAGUGGCUUGGGACCCCCAGGGAAAAGCUGCCCCAUCAGGAUCGUCCCGACCUCGGAGUUCACCAUCCUUGGGGCCAGGGCCAUGGUCCUGUCUCCAUGCCUGUGGAACGGCUGGGCUGGCACUAGGAGCAGGCCUGAGGACAAGCUCAGGAGACUCCCGGGGUGCCAGGGACCAGAAACCACUCCUGCCUCAAAGCCCUGGGGAGUGUUUCCUGCAGAAUCACAUCUUGACUCUUUCCUUCACGGGUCAGCAGAAGCCUGAGGAGCACAAGAGACUCCAAUUUCCCAAAGGAGAGGCAGGGAAAGAGCCCAGGCAGAGAGUCCCCAGUCCUAGGUGAGCCGCCGGUUCUCCUCACCCUGUCCUGUUUCAGCAGUGCAGCUCCAGUGGAGCAGGGCCGAAGAGCCGGCGUGACAGAGGGCCGGGGCUGUCUGCCUGCCGCUGGAUCUGCCCCCAGAGACUCCCUGAGAGCCUCCCGGUCUGUGCCUCACCUGACUGAGCAGGCUGCAGUCACAGGAGCUGAGAAACCCAAACAGAAUGGGACAUCAAAUCACCAUGGGGUCACUUUUGGUUGUAGGUGUUACCUGUCAGAAUUGCAUCUGCACACAUGGGGUGCACUCUGAGUGGAGGGGAGGAGAGGAGUACAGAUACAGCCUGUGCAAAAGAAGCCAAGGGGAGGAGCUGUUGGUACAGAGAGGAGGGGCCCUGUCCACUGGGCAGCGGGCCAUCCCAGGGGACCUGCAGCAGGGAGACCCAGAAGUCCUCUGUCUGAGGCUGAAUCUAAAACCGGAAGUCCAAGACUCUGGUUUGUGUGAAACUCUGCUAUAGUUUGGAUGUGGGUGUCCUGCAAAGGACCCGGGUCAAAGGCAUGGCUGCCAGCCUCUGGAGCUCCUGGGUGGGGGGAACUUUAGGAUGUGCCGCUGCGUGGAAGGAAGCCUGGUUGCUGGGGCUGUGUCCUUGAAAGGAUGCUAGGACCAUGGCCCCUUCCUUUCCCCCUUUUGCUUUGAGGUGAGCAGCUUUUCUUUGCCGUGGGUUCCCGCCAUGGUGUGCAGUGCUGUCACAGGCCCAAAACCACAGGGCCCGGUGACCACAGACUGCAACCUUUGAAACCGUGAGCCUUAAUAAAUCCUUACAGCAACAGAAA
Chinchilla lanigera (long-tailed chinchilla) is the source of this 2457-nucleotide long non-coding RNA. RefSeq lists it as uncharacterized. NCBI's taxonomy places the organism in Eukaryota, Metazoa, Chordata, Mammalia, Rodentia, Chinchillidae. The transcript is spliced from 3 exons. The record is from RefSeq and is a predicted model, not a curated record.